UUUUAAAGUGAAAGGUGUUAGUGUUAGUUGUGUGUAGAGUUUACAAUGUUUUUAAGUUUUUAUGCUACGUGUUUCCUUUUAGUAUCUAUUGAUGCGUUUUUUCUACUUGAUGAUAAAGAGCCCUUCUUCUUUUGCUAUAAAGUUUGCCCGCUGUAUUGUUCACCACGGAGACGUUAUGACGACGAUACAUCGUCGUUAAUCUAUUCUGACGAUGAAUUGCCAUUCAUAUAUGAGGAACCCGAAGAGAUUUAUCCACACAGUUUUCACUUUUGUAAGCCCAAACCGACCACUUCAACAACGACACAAGCGACAACGACUACAACGGAAGAGCCGACAUUUAUCUGUCUAAUGUGUAAGAAGAAAUGCAAUAAAAAAUCUACUUAAGCAAAAAGGUUUUAUAAGAAAUAUGUGAAAUAGUCUAAUAAAUCAAUUAUUCAGUA
Pieris napi is the source of this 440-nucleotide long non-coding RNA. RefSeq lists it as uncharacterized. The record is from RefSeq and is a predicted model, not a curated record. The transcript is spliced from 3 exons. NCBI's taxonomy places the organism in Eukaryota, Metazoa, Arthropoda, Insecta, Lepidoptera, Pieridae.